Long non-coding RNA from Brienomyrus brachyistius, 1262 nucleotides. RefSeq lists it as uncharacterized. NCBI's taxonomy places the organism in Eukaryota, Metazoa, Chordata, Actinopteri, Osteoglossiformes, Mormyridae. The transcript is spliced from 3 exons. The record is from RefSeq and is a predicted model, not a curated record.
UUCCAACGUGUAUAUGCACGAGUCUAAGAAAAAGAGGUACGGGUCGGGGGUGCGAGGGUGAUGAUACACGGCGGGAACUGCAAUACCAUACGAGUCGUGGGGAAGCUGGAUAACUGCCCAGACUGGUUUAAGAACGCCUUGAGAAGGAGGCUGCGUGUUUGUGGCUAAACAUGCCCACAUCACUGAUGCCCUCUAUGGUUACUGACCUGCGGCAGUGGGCGCACAGCGAAAGCAGCGUGACUGUGAGGAAGAGGACGAUGAGCGUGGAGAGCGGAGAGGCUUCUGGGAGGAGGGACCCCAUCAUGACAAGGCCCAUGCUCCCUGUCUCCAGCCGUGUCACAGCAGCAGACCCACCCUGUGCUUGCAUUAAGUUCUAGUCCUUGGAACCAAUAACACAAUGACACUCAUCUCUGUUAAGUUGCUUGUCAAGACCUACAUCCCAUCUUGUCCACUUCAGUCAGCCAAAACCUCCUGGAUAUCUCUCCACCACAGGAGAAACCUCACCCUAUACUGUACGUUUCUGAUGUGUGGCUUCCUGAUGAUGGAAUAAAUUGCCAAACCUCACCAGAAUCCCUCACCACCUUCAAGAAUCACAUUAAAACUGAUCUGUUCUGCCUAAUACCCCUCCAUGUUCUCUUUGGUAGCCACCUAAAGUUCCCCGAUUGUUCUUUGCCUUUUGUGGCUUUUUUUCCGAUUGAAUGACCUGUGAGUUUCUUGCUAUAUUUGAAAGAUGUUGUGUUAUACUUGUUACUGCACAUUCAUUAGAUGUCAGAGCAGCUCCGCUCUGUGUGUCAUGAUUUGAAGGACUCGGGGCCAGGUGUGUUGGCGAAACAGAAAGAGGUUUUAUUGAAUUAACUGAACAGGGAUAGUAAACAAACAGGAUCUCAGGGGAUCAGAAACAAGGGAAGUAGAACAAGGAAGGGCACAGGCCCUUGUUGAUGAGAGACAUCGUAUGAGAAUGUACAGUACAGUAACUCAACCACUCUUUCUGGCAGUGCUGGGCAGAAAAGCAUUCCUGAAGACACAGCACAUCAGCUGGAAAUGGAUGGGCUACCACAACAGAUCACUCCUUGUCAGCCCCACUAAAUCACACUGACCUGUAUCAUACUGUAUCACAGUUUCCUCCAGAGUACUGUAGUACAAAUAGACAGAAGUCGUCAAACGCCGCCCUCUAGAGGUCAGCGGUUAUAUUACAGAAUUAAACACAAAUAAUAAACCUGGCAAAUAGCUGUUGAGUUGAAUAAGAUGUGAUUGAGCAGAGA